RNAcentral lists this ribosomal RNA (500 nucleotides) under Niallia nealsonii. RNAcentral's name for it is "bacterial SSU rRNA". It matches the Rfam family "Bacterial small subunit ribosomal RNA", at positions 913 to 1419 of the family's 1533-position model. The record is from RNAcentral. Lineage: Bacteria; Bacillati; Bacillota; Bacilli; Caryophanales; Bacillaceae.
ACGGGGCCCGCACAAGCGGUGGAGCAUGUGUUUAAUUCGAAGCAACGCGAAGAACUUACCAGGUCUGACAUCUCCUGACAAUCCUAGAGAUAGGACGUUCCUUCGGGGACAGGAUGACAGGUGGUGCAUGGUUGUCGUCAGCUCGUGUCGUGAGAUGUUGGGUUAAGUCCCGCAACGAGCGCAACCCUUGAUCUUAGUUGCCAGCAUUAAGUUGGGCACUCUAAGGUGACUGCCGGUGACAAACCGGAGGAAGGUGGGGAUGACGUCAAAUCAUCAUGCCCCUUAUGACCUGGGCUACACACGUGCUACAAUGGAUGGUACAAAGGGCAGCAAAACCGCGAGGUCGAGCCAAUCCCAUAAAACCAUUCUCAGUUCGGAUUGUAGGCUGCAACUCGCCUACAUGAAGCUGGAAUCGCUAGUAAUCGCGGAUCAGCAUGCCGCGGUGAAUACGUUCCCGGGCCUUGUACACACCGCCCGUCACACCACGAGAGUUUGUAACA